Molecule: long non-coding RNA, 106 nt
Filed under: Numida meleagris (helmeted guineafowl)
Lineage: Eukaryota; Metazoa; Chordata; Aves; Galliformes; Numididae
Description: lncRNA (ENSNMEG00000007078.1)
Source: RNAcentral
CCCUCACUCAGACCAGAUGGUCAAUGCUUGCAGAGCAGUAACUGGGCAAGAUAAAGGAGGGAUGAAAAUCACUAAAUUCAGCACCCAAGGAGCCAAGACCAACCUU